Molecule: transfer RNA, 74 nt
Filed under: Octopus sinensis (East Asian common octopus)
Lineage: Eukaryota; Metazoa; Mollusca; Cephalopoda; Octopoda; Octopodidae
Description: tRNA-Ile
Rfam family: tRNA
About the family: Transfer RNA (tRNA) molecules are approximately 80 nucleotides in length. Their secondary structure includes four short double-helical elements and three loops (D, anti-codon, and T loops).
Source: RNAcentral
GCCCCGGUGGCACAAUCGGUUAGCGCGCCGUACUUAUAAUGCGGAGGUUGUGAGUUCGAACCUCACCUGGGACA